CGAACGGGUGAGUAACACGUGAGUAACCUGCCCCGAAGACUGGGAUAACGACCGGAAACGGUCGCUAAUACCGGAUACCCCCAUUGGAUCGCAUGGUCCGAUGAGGAAAUGAAUUUCGCUUCGGGAGGGGCUCGCGGGCUAUCAGCUUGUUGGUGGGGGUAAUGGCCCACCAAGGCUGCAACGGCUAGCUGGUCUGAGAGGACGACCAGCCACACUGGGACUGAGACACGGCCCAG
This 236-nucleotide ribosomal RNA is filed under the name uncultured bacterium. Its description in RNAcentral is "partial 16S ribosomal RNA". It matches the Rfam family "Bacterial small subunit ribosomal RNA", at positions 99 to 334 of the family's 1533-position model. The record is from RNAcentral.